UACGGAGGGUGCAAGCGUUAUCCGGAUUUAUUGGGUUUAAAGGGUCCGUAGGCGGAUCUGUAAGUCAGUGGUGAAAUCUCACAGCUUAAUUGUGAAACUGCCAUUGAUACUGCAGGUCUUGAGUAAAGUAGAAGUGGCUGGAAUAAGUAGUGUAGCGGUGAAAUGCAUAGAUAUUACUUAGAACACCAAUUGCGAAGGCAGGUCACUAUGUUUUAACUGACGCUGAUGGACGAAAGCGUGGGGAGCGAACAGG
Molecule: ribosomal RNA, 253 nt
Filed under: uncultured bacterium
Lineage: Bacteria
Description: partial 16S ribosomal RNA
Rfam family: Bacterial small subunit ribosomal RNA
Source: RNAcentral